AUUGAACGCUGGCGGCAGGCCUAACACAUGCAAGUCGAGCGGAUGAAGGGAGCUUGCUCCUGGAUUCAGCGGCGGACGGGUGAGUAAUGCCUAGGAAUCUGCCUGGUAGUGGGGGAUAACGUCCGGAAACGGGCGCUAAUACCGCAUACGUCCUGAGGGAGAAAGUGGGGGAUCUUCGGACCUCACGCUAUCAGAUGAGCCUAGGUCGGAUUAGCUAGUUGGUGGGGUAAAGGCCUACCAAGGCGACGAUCCGUAACUGGUCUGAGAGGAUGAUCAGUCACACUGGAACUGAGACCCGGUCCAGACUCCUACGGGAGGCAGCAGUGGGGAAUAUUCGACCAUGGGCGCAAGCCUGAUCCAGCCAUGCCGCGUGUGUGAAGAAGGUCUUCGGAUUGUAAAGCACUUUAAGUUGGGAGGAAGGGCAGUAAGUUAAUACCUUGCUGUUUUGACGUUACCAACAGAAUAAGCACCGGCUAACUUCGUG
RNAcentral lists this ribosomal RNA (484 nucleotides) under uncultured bacterium. RNAcentral's name for it is "partial 16S ribosomal RNA". It matches the Rfam family "Bacterial small subunit ribosomal RNA", at positions 30 to 507 of the family's 1533-position model. The record is from RNAcentral.